GCUCAUUAGUUUGACAACAUUUGAAUAGUGGAAGAUGUCAAAUUUAUCUCAUUUCACUCGUUGAAGCUGUAGUUGCGGCAUAUUCCGAAGAAUGUAACAACAGACCUCUGUCGGAUGAAAGACGAAUAAGAUGUUGACAAUUACAGGCGCGGUAGAGGGCUACAGAUAAUGAGCGAAUUCCCUGAGUUGGUCCUGCUGUGUGGCCCUCCAUUUGUUGGCAAAUCUGAGUACUACAUGAGACAUUAUCAGAGGACACAUCGUAGAAUUUGCCCAGCAGAGGUUUUUGAGAAGGAUCCCUCUUCAGGCCUGCGCAGUAUUAUCUUGCAAGCUGUGGAGAUUCUGUUAAAUGGUAAUAAUGUUGUGAUUGAUGAUGAAAACCAGCUCAAGGAAAGCAGAUCUUCAUAUAUCAGAGUUAUAAAGAAGAA
Long non-coding RNA from Liolophura sinensis, 425 nucleotides. RefSeq lists it as uncharacterized. The record is from RefSeq and is a predicted model, not a curated record. Lineage: Eukaryota; Metazoa; Mollusca; Polyplacophora; Chitonida; Chitonidae. The transcript has 3 exons.